UACGGGGGGGGCAAGCGUUGUUCGGAAUUACUGGGCGUAAAGGGUUUGUAGGUGGCUUGUUAAGUCAGACGUGAAAUCCCUCGGCUUAACCGGGGAACUGCGUCUGAUACUGGACGGCUUGAGUUUGGGAGAGGGACGCGGAAUUCCAGGUGUAGCGGUGAAAUGCGUAGAUAUCUGGAGGAACACCGGUGGCGAAGGCGGCGUCCUGGACCAACACUGACACUGAGGAGCGAAAGCCAGGGGAGCAAACGGG
RNAcentral lists this ribosomal RNA (253 nucleotides) under uncultured bacterium. Its description in RNAcentral is "partial 16S ribosomal RNA". It matches the Rfam family "Bacterial small subunit ribosomal RNA", at positions 524 to 776 of the family's 1533-position model. The record is from RNAcentral.